GUAGGGAAUAUUGCGCAAUGGACGAAAGUCUGACGCAGCGACGCCGCGUGAGUGAUGAAGGCCUUAGGGUCGUAAAGCUCUGUUGAAUGGGAAGAAAAAAAUGACGGUACCAUUCGAGGAAGGACCGGCUAACUUCGUGCCAGCAGCCGCGGUAAUACGAGGGGUCCUAGCGUUGUUCGGAAUCAUUGGGCGUAAAGGGUGUGUAGGUGGCCAUGUAAGUCAGGUGUGAAAGCCCCGGGCUCAACCCGGGAAGUGCACUUGAUACUGCGUGGCUUGAGUACCGAAGAGGGUAGUGGAAUUCCAGGUGUAGUGGUGAAAUACGUAGAUAUCUGGAGGAACACCGGUGGCGAAGGCGGCUACCUGGUCGAGUACUGACACUGAGACACGAAAGCAUGGGGAUCAAACAGGAUUAGAUACCCCGGUAGUCC
This 428-nucleotide ribosomal RNA is filed under the name uncultured bacterium. RNAcentral's name for it is "bacterial SSU rRNA". It matches the Rfam family "Bacterial small subunit ribosomal RNA", at positions 354 to 796 of the family's 1533-position model. The record is from RNAcentral.